UUUAUUUAAAGAAUACAAGAUUUCAAAUUAUACAUGAUGGUGAUCAUUGUUUAGGUCUCCAAUAUGUAUCAAAUUUAAAUUUAGUACCAGGAAAAGACUGAUAGAAACCAUCAUCUCUCACAGAAAAAUAAGUGCCUGGAUAAUAAGGUUCAUCAUAGAAAUCAUAUCCGACCCAAGCAUUGGACCAGUCCGACCACGUAGCACUGCAUUCCACAAUUUUUUCCUUAUGCAUUGUUUCAUAAUCGUAGUUACCACCCACAUUAAGUUUAAUAUGUGAAUCAUUGCCACAAGAAACUAUUAAAGAUCCUAAAGUGUUGUUGGGCAAGUCAUUUUUUAUUGAGAUGAAAACUUUGUGUGGCUCAACGGGAGGUAACCAUCUUGAUAUUGU
This 388-nucleotide long non-coding RNA is filed under the name Lathyrus oleraceus (garden pea). Its description in RNAcentral is "Pisum sativum (pea) long non-coding RNA (PSAT_LNC002862)". Lineage: Eukaryota; Viridiplantae; Streptophyta; Magnoliopsida; Fabales; Fabaceae. The record is from RNAcentral.